CAUCAUAUCAGCAUAGGCCGCCU
This 23-nucleotide small nuclear RNA is filed under the name Arabidopsis thaliana (thale cress). RNAcentral's name for it is "snRNA_09928". Lineage: Eukaryota; Viridiplantae; Streptophyta; Magnoliopsida; Brassicales; Brassicaceae. The record is from RNAcentral.